RNAcentral lists this ribosomal RNA (525 nucleotides) under uncultured Ascomycota. RNAcentral's name for it is "eukaryotic LSU rRNA". The stretch from base 186 to 339 matches the Rfam family "5.8S ribosomal RNA". The record is from RNAcentral. Lineage: Eukaryota; Fungi; Ascomycota.
CAUUAAAGAGUAAGGGUGCUCAGCGCCCGACCUCCAACCCUUUGUUGUUAAAACUACCUUGUUGCUUUGGCGGGACCGCUCGGUUCCGAGCCGCUGGGGAUUCGUCCCAGGCGAGUGCCCGCCAGAGUUAAACCAAACUCUUGUUAUUAAACCGGUCGUCUGAGUUAAAAUUUUGAAUAAAUCAAAACUUUCAACAACGGAUCUCUUGGUUCUCGCAUCGAUGAAGAACGCAGCGAAAUGCGAUAAGUAAUGUGAAUUGCAGAAUUCAGUGAAUCAUCGAAUCUUUGAACGCACAUUGCGCCCCUUGGUAUUCCGAGGGGCAUGCCUGUUCGAGCGUCAUUACACCACUCAAGCUAUGCUUGGUAUUGGGUGCCGUCCUUAGUUGGGCGCGCCUUAAAGACCUCGGCGAGGCCACUCCGGCUUUAGGCGUAGUAGAAUUUAUUCGAACGUCUGUCAAAGGAGAGGAACUCUGCCGAUUGAAACCUUUAUUUUUCUAGGUUGACCUCGGAUCAGGUAGGGAUACCC